RNAcentral lists this transfer RNA (69 nucleotides) under Polistes rothneyi. RNAcentral's name for it is "tRNA-Lys". RNAcentral also lists the same sequence under 2 other names. The record is from RNAcentral. Lineage: Eukaryota; Metazoa; Arthropoda; Insecta; Hymenoptera; Vespidae.
CAUUAAGAAACUUUAUUGAAGUAAAAGUCUCUUAAACUUUAAAUGAUUAUAAAAAUUAAUCCUUAAUGA